Pelobates cultripes (western spadefoot toad) is the source of this 550-nucleotide non-coding RNA. The record is from the annotation of a GenBank genome assembly. NCBI's taxonomy places the organism in Eukaryota, Metazoa, Chordata, Amphibia, Anura, Pelobatidae.
AUAUAUAUAAUCCAGCCUCCAGUGACUGUCUCUUGACAGCCGCUAGAGGCGCUUGCGUGCUUCUCACUGUGAAAAUCACAGUGAGAAGACGCCAGCGUCCAUAGGAAAGCAUUGUGAAUGCUUUCCUAUGGACUGGCUGCGCGCGCGGCUCCUGCCGCGCAUGCGCAUUCAGCCAAAGAGGAGGAGAAGAGGGAGGAGAGGAGGAGGAGAGCUCCCUGCCCGGUGCUGGAAAAAAAGGUAAGAUUUAACCCUAUCCUCUCGAUCCAGCCAGGCGGGAGGGGGACCCUGAGGGUGGGGGCACCCUCAGGGCACUAAGUGCCAGGAAAACAAGUAUGUUUUCCUGGCACUAUAGUGGUCCUUUAAGCUUUACAUGUUAAACAUAGGACUAUAAUGGUUUUCUCUUUUUUAAAAUCUGCUAUUGAUGUGAGAGAUGCCCCAUGUCUUUGAUCUUUUUGUUAAUUCAAAUUUCACAUAAUUUAUUUUUACUCAUUACUUCAAAACAGUCUUUUACUGACGAGUGAUUUAAUACAUUUCACUGCAUAGCUUGAAG